UAUGUGAUCGUCUCUCGCAUAUCAAUAAGCGGAGGAAAAGAAACUAACAAGGAUUCCCCUAGUAACGGCGAGUGAAGCGGGAAGAGCUCAGAUUUGAAAUCUUAAAGGGUUUCCCUUUACGAAUUGUAGUUUAAAGAAGUGUUUUCUGUUGAGGUUUUGGUAAAAGUUCUUGGAAUAGGACAUCAUAGAGGGUGAGAAUCCCGUAUUUGACCUUUACUUUCAACUUUGUGAUACACUUUCAAAGAGUCGGAUUGUUUGGGAAUGCAGUCCAAAAUGGGUGGUAAAUUUCAUCUAAAGCUAAAUAUUGGCGAGAGACCGAUAGCGAACAAGUACCGUGAGGGAAAGAUGAAAAGAACUUUGAAAAGAGAGUUAAACAGUACGUGAAAUUGUCAAAAGGGAAGCGUUUGACACCAGUGUUGUUUUUCUGAAAAUCAAUUAAAGAACUGUUUAUGCUAAGUUGUUUAGACUUUAUCAGCUAACUGUUUAGUUUUGAGCUGUUCUUUAAUGCACUUCUCAGUUAACAAGUCAACAUCGAUUUCUUUUGCUGUAAAAAAGCUUGAGGAAGGUGGCUUGAGAUUCGUCUUAAGUGUUUAUAGCCUCUUGCCUAUGCAGUCGGAGAGAUUGAGGUCUGCAGCGUAGAUCCUUCGGGGCUAAAUGCAUUUGUGCUAAGUUAUAGCAUUUUAUAGACAACUUGUUGACUAUGAUUUGUCUUGUAGCUUACUCGCUUAUGUUAUUUUACCUACGCUUAGGAUGUUGAAGUCAUCGUAUCGCGC
This 773-nucleotide ribosomal RNA is filed under the name uncultured Neocallimastigales. RNAcentral's name for it is "partial large subunit ribosomal RNA". It matches the Rfam family "Eukaryotic large subunit ribosomal RNA", at positions 24 to 645 of the family's 3401-position model. Lineage: Eukaryota; Fungi; Neocallimastigomycota; Neocallimastigomycetes; Neocallimastigales. The record is from RNAcentral.